Molecule: transfer RNA, 63 nt
Filed under: Heterocephalus glaber (naked mole-rat)
Lineage: Eukaryota; Metazoa; Chordata; Mammalia; Rodentia; Bathyergidae
Rfam family: tRNA
About the family: Transfer RNA (tRNA) molecules are approximately 80 nucleotides in length. Their secondary structure includes four short double-helical elements and three loops (D, anti-codon, and T loops). Further hydrogen bonds mediate the characteristic L-shaped molecular structure. tRNAs have two regions of fundamental functional importance: the anti-codon, which is responsible for specific mRNA codon recognition, and the 3' end, to which the tRNAs corresponding amino acid is attached (by aminoacyl-tRNA synthetases). tRNAs cope with the degeneracy of the genetic code in two manners: having more than one tRNA (with a specific anti-codon) for a particular amino acid; and 'wobble' base-pairing, i.e. permitting non-standard base-pairing at the 3rd anti-codon position.
Source: Rfam by way of RNAcentral
GAGGAUGUAGCUCAGUGGGAGAGUGCUUGCCUUGGAGGGAAGAGGCCCUUGGUUCCAUCCUCA